RNAcentral lists this ribosomal RNA (443 nucleotides) under uncultured bacterium. RNAcentral's name for it is "partial 16S ribosomal RNA". It matches the Rfam family "Bacterial small subunit ribosomal RNA", at positions 338 to 795 of the family's 1533-position model. The record is from RNAcentral.
CCUACGGGCGGCAGCAGUGGGGAAUAUUGGGCAAUGGACGCAACUCUGACCCAGCAACGCCGCGUGAAUGAUGAAGGUCUUCGGAUUGUAAACUUCUGUGAUGGGGGAUGAACACAAUGACGGUACCCCAAUAGCAAACCACGGCUAACUACGUUCCAGCAGCCGCGGUAAUACGUGGGUGGCAAGCGUUAUCCGGAAUGACUGGGCGUAAAGGGUGCGUAGGUGGUUUAGUAAGUUGGCGGUGUAAUGCCGGGGCUCAACCUGGGCGCUACCGCCGAAACUAUUAGACUGGAGUGCAGGAGAGGUAAGUGGAAGUCCUAGUGUAGCGGUGGAAUGCGUAGAUAUUAGGAGGAACAUCAGGGGCGAAGGCGACUUACUGGACUGUAACUGACACUGAGGCACGAAAGCGUGGGGAGCAAACAGGAUUAGAUACCCUUGUAGUC